This is a non-coding RNA of Canis lupus familiaris (dog), 141 nucleotides long. The record is from RefSeq and is marked provisional. Lineage: Eukaryota; Metazoa; Chordata; Mammalia; Carnivora; Canidae.
GAGGACGAGCGUGGUCACAGAAGCUGGUCUGAGAUGUUCGAAAGGAGGUUGUCCGUGAUGUAUUUGCUUUGUUUAUGGCAGAUAUUGCACGGUUGAUCUCUUUUCAUCAUCAAAUGCCUUCUUGAAGGACCCGCGGCACGU